Molecule: ribosomal RNA, 799 nt
Filed under: Salmonella enterica
Lineage: Bacteria; Pseudomonadati; Pseudomonadota; Gammaproteobacteria; Enterobacterales; Enterobacteriaceae
Description: partial 23S ribosomal RNA
Rfam family: Bacterial large subunit ribosomal RNA
Source: RNAcentral
UGUGCUGUGAGCUCGAUGAGUAGGGCGGGACACGUGGUAUCCUGUCUGAAUAUGGGGGGACCAUCCUCCAAGGCUAAAUACUCCUGACUGACCGAUAGUGAACCAGUACCGUGAGGGAAAGGCGAAAAGAACCCCGGCGAGGGGAGUGAAAAAGAACCUGAAACCGUGUACGUACAAGCAGUGGGAGCACAGGUUUACCUGUGUGACUGCGUACCUUUUGUAUAAUGGGUCAGCGACUUAUAUUCUGUAGCAAGGUUAACCGAAUAGGGGAGCCGGAGGGAAACCGAGUCUUAAUUGGGCGUUAAGUUGCAGGGUAUAGACCCGAAACCCGGUGAUCUAGCCAUGGGCAGGUUGAAGGUUGGGUAACACUAACUGGAGGACCGAACCGACUAAUGUUGAAAAAUUAGCGGAUGACCUGUGGCUGGGGGUGAAAGGCCAAUCAAACCGGGAGAUAGCUGGUUCUCCCCGAAAGCUAUUUAGGUAGCGCCUCGUGAAUUCAUCUCCGGGGGUAGAGCACUGUUUCGGCUAGGGGGCCAUCCCGGCUUACCAACCCGAUGCAAACUGCGAAUACCGGAGAAUGUUAUCACGGGAGACACACGGCGGGUGCUAACGUCCGUCGUGAAGAGGGAAACAACCCAGACCGCCAGCUAAGGUCCCAAAGUCAUGGUUAAGUGGGAAACGAUGUGGGAAGGCCCAGACAGCCAGGAUGUUGGCUUAGAAGCAGCCAUCAUUUAAAGAAAGCGUAAUAGCUCACUGGUCGAGUCGGCCUGCGCGGAAGAUGUAACGGGGCUAAACCAUG